Long non-coding RNA from Columba livia (rock pigeon), 656 nucleotides. RefSeq lists it as uncharacterized. Lineage: Eukaryota; Metazoa; Chordata; Aves; Columbiformes; Columbidae. The record is from RefSeq and is a predicted model, not a curated record. The transcript has 4 exons.
CCUGGACCCAGCUCCAUCCCAGAGGGGCCACAGACCAUGGCAAAGCUGCAGGUCACAGGGAGCCUGUGAACACAGCACCACGUCACGGGCUGCAGGAAGUCAGAUAACUAUGAGUUAAGCAUAUUAAAAGCAGGGCUCUCUCAAGAGACAGUCCAGCACGUGGGGUUCUGGACAUGGGAAGAUAAUAAUGGCUAAAACACAAGAAGCAUUACUGUUGUUACAGAUGGAGACCCAGCUCCUCUCUGCUCCAUUCACAGGCCACUUCACAGAGCUCAGCCCACAUGGAUGCAGGAGAUGAGUGGCCAGCAAAGAAUUUCAUAGAUGAAUUUUCUCACAAUUCAAGAUCUUGUCGGCUUCCUGUUGUGUUGGAACAAAAAUGCGCUCAAGAUUUCACGCACCAUGGAGCCGGUGACAGUCUUGAUCUAAGUACCCUAGUGAGGUUUGCAGUCAGCCUCAAGAACAUCUGACUGCACGUGGAUGAAGUUGACAUAGAUCUGUAUGCUUAUCGAUGUCAGACGCAGCAUUUCUAGUCAGGCAUGUUUAAACACACACUUCCGGUCUAUGCGCUUCCUACACACCUCAUAGGACUGAUUUGUUCCUUGGUUCCACUCUGUCAAAGAUUCUCAAACGCAUAUAAGGACUCUAAGCAGGUCAGU